GACGAACGCUGGCGGCGUGCUUAACACAUGCAAGUCGAACGGAAAGGCCCUGCUUUUGUGGGGUGCUCGAGUGGCGAACGGGUGAGUAAAACGUGAGUAACCUGCCCUUGACUUUGGGAUAACUUCAGGAAACUGGGGCUAAUACCGGAUAGAAGCUCCUGCUGCAUGGUGGGGGUUGGAAGGUUUCGGCGGUUGGGGAUGGACUCGCGGCUUAUCAGCUUGUUGGUGGGGUAGUGGCUUACCAAGGCUUUGACGGGUAGCCGGCCUGAGAGGGUGACCGGCCACAUUGGGACUGAGAUACGGCCCAGACUCCUACGGGAGGCAGCAGUGGGGAAUAUUGCACAAUGGGCGGAAGCCUGAUGCAGCAACGCCGCGUGCGGGAUGACGGCCUUCGGGUUGUAAACCGCUUUCGCCUGUGACGAAGCGUGAGUGACGGUAAUGGGUAAAGAAGCACCGGCUAACUACGUG
RNAcentral lists this ribosomal RNA (468 nucleotides) under uncultured bacterium. RNAcentral's name for it is "partial 16S ribosomal RNA". It matches the Rfam family "Bacterial small subunit ribosomal RNA", at positions 28 to 507 of the family's 1533-position model. The record is from RNAcentral.